RNAcentral lists this ribosomal RNA (254 nucleotides) under uncultured microorganism. Its description in RNAcentral is "partial 16S ribosomal RNA". It matches the Rfam family "Archaeal small subunit ribosomal RNA", at positions 474 to 727 of the family's 1478-position model. The record is from RNAcentral.
CACCGGCGGCUCGAGAGGUGGCCACUUUUAUUGGGUCUAAAGCGUCCGUAGCCGGCUUGGCAAGUCCCCUGGGAAAUCUGGCGGCUUAACCGUCAGGCGUCCAGAGGAUACUGCCAGGCUUGGGACCGGGAGAGGUGAGAGGUACCUCAGGGGUAGGGGUGAAAUCUUGUGAUCCCUGAGGGACCACCAGUGGCGAAGGCGUCUCACUAGAACGGGUCCGACGGUCAGGGACGAAAGCUGGGGGCACGAACCGG